Molecule: ribosomal RNA, 916 nt
Filed under: uncultured bacterium
Lineage: Bacteria
Description: bacterial SSU rRNA
Rfam family: Bacterial small subunit ribosomal RNA
Source: RNAcentral
AGAGUUUGAUCCUGGCUCAGGAUGAACGCUAGCUACAGGCUUAACACAUGCAAGUCGAGGGGCAUCAUGAGGUUUGCUUGCAGACCUUGAUGGCGACCGGCGCACGGGUGAGUAACGCGUAUCCAACCUUCCCCUUAGUAGGGCAUAGCCCGGCGAAAGUCGGAUUAAUACCCUAUGUUCUUCGUCGAUGACAUCUGAAGUGAAGCAAAGGUUUACCGCUAAGGGAUGGGGAUGCGUCUGAUUAGGUAGUAGGCGGGGUAACGGCCCACCUAGCCGUCGAUCAGUAGGGGUUCUGAGAGGAAGGUCCCCCACAUUGGAACUGAGACACGGUCCAAACUCCUACGGGAGGCAGCAGUGAGGAAUAUUGGUCAAUGGGCGCGAGCCUGAACCAGCCAAGUAGCGUGCAGGAUGACGGCCCUAUGGGUUGUAAACUGCUUUUAUCAGGGGAUAAAGUGGGGGACGUGUCCCCCUUUGCAGGUACCUGAUGAAUAAGGACCGGCUAAUUCCGUGCCAGCAGCCGCGGUAAUACGGAAGGUCCGGGCGUUAUCCGGAUUUAUUGGGUUUAAAGGGAGCGCAGGCCGGAGGUCAAGCGUGACGUGAAAUGUAGCCGCUCAACGGGUGCACUGCGUCGCGAACUGGUUUCCUUGAGUGAGUACGACGUCAGCGGAAUUCGUGGUGUAGCGGUGAAAUGCUUAGAUAUCACGAAGAACCCCGAUUGCGAAGGCAGCUGACGAGUCCUUUACUGACGCUAAAGCUCGAAGGUGCGGGUAUCGAACAGGAUUAGAUACCCUGGUAGUCCGCACGGUAAACGAUGGAUGCCCGCUGUCGGCGAUACAAUGUCGGCGGCCAAGCGAAAGCGUUAAGCAUCCCACCUGGGGAGUACGCCGGCAACGGUGAAACUCAAAGGAAUUGACGG